AGUUGCUUGCUGGGACCAUGAGGGGGAAGAAGGACUGAAAGGCUACCAAACUUCACAAGUAAAGAGGCCCUGCUCAAGCAGAGGACAGUCAGUAUUCAUCUGGAACGAGGAACUGCAGCUUCUCUCCUGGAUAAGAUCAGUGCAGACUAUUAAAGAACACAUCGACAAAUCAACCCUACUCGUAAACAAAAGUGCCUGUAACAAAAUGGCCACCUGAUUGCUGAGCUACAUUUCUGAGAACACCACAAGCCUAAGGUCAAGGUUCACCAAACUUCCAAAGUGGAAAAAGUCCCAGCUUCAGCAUACCUCUGUUAUAGUAAAGAGGAUUUGUAAGUGCCAGGAGGGCAUGUUCCAGUGUUCAGGCUCUCACUGAUUAUGCUUUAUACAAAAUAUGCUUUUUACUUGUAACAAAAUAAGGUGCAUUUUAACUCUCAAAAUGUAUAUUUCACCUUCUUCUCUGGGCUGUAUCACAGAUCUCUCUUCAAUAUUUACUUUUCUGCAUAUAUAAUCAAAUAUUUUUAAAGGGUCAGAGCUAAUUAAACAUUCUUCUUUUCUCAGGGCACUUUUUCUUUCAUAGUAAAACUUGCAUUUUUCAGGAUUAACCCAGGUCAUGCCUGAGCAAAAGAAAAAUCUGCUGGCCAGACAAGAGAGAGAAUCCCAGACACCUGCUGGCAGAAAUCUGUGUUUUCAGUCCCAUUUGUUUCUACCCUAUCCAGACAUAAUAUUUAUAGCAAUCCUUUAAAUCCCAAAUAAGAACUAUCAAGCUAGUUCUUUAAAGGCCCACUCCUUGCCUAAAUGAUUAAAGUGCAUCUCCCUGGAAGGAUGGUGUUGAUCCAUCCAGCAAAAGAAUAGUGUUAGUAUGUGUCUCUGUCUCUGUCUCUCUCUCCCUCUAUCUAUUAGAGAGAAGUGAAGAACUGGAACACACUUGUGGUUGGGAUGGUGGAGUCGAAUAUAGUAAAACAAAUGGAUGAAUAUAUGGAAGUCAAAAAGUUAAAGGAGGGUUUUCAUGCUUAUUUUAGGGGCCAGGAAAAGAGUGUUUCAAUAAUGGGAGUUUCCCCUCCCCAAGUCUUGCUUAAAGGCAAACUGCAAAACUAAAAUUUAAAAUGCAGUCAAGCACUGAUUUAUAUGCUGCAUGCCCUUAUUGAUCCAGCCAUGGGAUGUUUUCAGCACAGCAAUAAGUUUUAACAAACCUGAUUUUUACUUCCUUUUUCCCCUCUGAUGUAUCAUGGCACUUUUUUUAUACCAUCACAAAUGCUAUCAGUUGCAUGUUUUGCACAGUGAUUUCUGGCAUCUGUGGUAUCACAGGUAAUACUGACACUUCAUUUUUAAUCUCUCUAGUUAUCUUGGGAGUCUGAAUUUUUUUUGCAUACCAAAAGUGCAGUUUAGGAAACUUUUUGCAAACUUUGCUAUCAUAAGAACAAUACUGUGUAUUGUAAGAUUGAGUGAUCAUCCCCUUUUGGGCAAUUCUUGGGUAAGUGUGAUUCUGUUUUUUGCUGUGCAGGUGUCUGCAUAGUAGAACUGGAAGACAGUCUCUGAAACAUACUUCUUUUGUUGUGUAUCCUCCAUUCAGCAAAGAGUAGCCAAAACCAGUAGGGAAAAAAAUCUAAAACCACAGACUGAGUAGAUACAGAGGAAAGGAUACAGCUUUUUCUUUUUUCUUAUUUUCUUUUUCCAGGUGACCUGCAGAUUCCUUUAAUUUCCAUUAGUACUCAAAUUGUAUAGCUCUUAUGAGUCCACUAGAUGGUGCCAUAGUCAUCGUAGAUAUUUGGAAAUCAUGUUCUGUGCUAUAAUUUGUUUGACUGUAAUUCACAAAUUCACUCAUUUUUAUGCACAUUUUGGUUUGGAUUCUGCAAAUUGAGGGUGUUGUUGGGAAUAAGUAGCUACUUGGCAUUAAUUAUAUAUGCCCUAAUAUUGCAAGGAUGUGCUUGUUUUGUCACUGACUUCAAAGGGGUCAGGAUUUUACCUUAUGCACAGCUGCCUUGAAGUCAAUGGAACUACACUCUUUUUGCAAAAAGUUAAGAACUUUAUGGAUUUAUGGGACUUAUGGGAGACGACUCAUAUGGAGACUCAUGCAUAAUAUAUUUGUUGGUGCUUAAUAAUUUUCUUAGAGAUUAUGCAAAGUGGAAAGGUCUUGUGCUUGUAGAAUGAGAAAAGAAGAAGUUCAGUAAUUCUCCUUAAAUCAACUGUGAUCCUGUUGUUGGAUCUGCCUGGUGAGACCCUUGCAAACAUGUGGCACCUCCUGGAAGUCAAUGAGAAUGUAUGUGCAGAAGAUAGUUCCAAUUGCAGGAUCAUGCUUUGAAUUAGUCCACAACUCCAGGAGAGGUGGCUCAGUAAAGAAUGUGAGAAUUCUUGUAUGUAUACACCUGUGCUAGGAGCAUUAGGAGAUGCAUGAACAUAUUUGAUCUGCUAUUGCAAUUAGUCAAAGCUGGCAUAAUAAAAAAAGGUAAUGAUUUC
Molecule: long non-coding RNA, 2454 nt
Organism: Chelonia mydas (Green sea turtle)
Lineage: Eukaryota; Metazoa; Chordata; Testudines; Cheloniidae
Exons: 3
Source: RefSeq, a predicted model, not a curated record